UGACCGCUGGCGGCAUGCUUUACACAUGCAAGUCGCACGGCAGCGCGGGCUUCGGCCUGGCGGCGAGUGGCGAACGGGUGAGUAAUACAUCGGAACGUGCCCAGUAGUGGGGGAUAGCUCGGCGAAAGCCGGAUUAAUACCGCAUACGACCUGAGGGUGAAAGCGGGGGAUCUUCGGACCUCGCGCUAUUGGAGCGGCCGAUGGCAGAUUAGCUAGUUGGUGGGGUAAAGGCCUACCAAGGCGACGAUCUGUAGCUGGUCUGAGAGGACGACCAGCCACACUGGGACUGAGACACGGCCCAGACUCCUACGGGAGGCAGCAGUGGGGAAUUUUGGACAAUGGGCGAAAGCCUGAUCCAGCAAUGCCGCGUGUGUGAUGAAGGCCUUCGGGUUGUAAAGCACUUUUGGCGGGAACGAAAAGGACUGUGCCAAUACCACGGUUCGAUGACGGUACCCGCAGAAUAAGCACCGGCUAACUACGUG
RNAcentral lists this ribosomal RNA (482 nucleotides) under uncultured bacterium. RNAcentral's name for it is "partial 16S ribosomal RNA". It matches the Rfam family "Bacterial small subunit ribosomal RNA", at positions 30 to 507 of the family's 1533-position model. The record is from RNAcentral.